UUAGAUAAAUAUGUUCAUGUUGGAAACAUUUUUCUAAAUUUGAUAAUGUGGAUGUGUCAUCCAAAUCAUUCAUUGCAUUUAAAUAGGAAAUAAAGAAACAACAUAAUUUUACACAAAUAUUCAUUUUCCACUUGAUUUUAUCAUUUUUAUUCACUCCAUGAAUAAUAUACGUUCACGAAAAUACGUUGUCUUUUUCAAACAUAGUAGUUCAAAUUCAACGAGUCGUUCUACGAAGGUGCACUUAAGACUGUCUGGCGUGUAUUUAAUUUGUACUUUAUUCUGACAGCCGCGUUGUAAUUGAUGAUGACAGUUCGGUUUCGCCCCUCUGGACGUAGGCCCAAUAUCAAAUUUUUCAUGACAGCGAUUUCGGAAUUCAUUCAGAUCGCAACAAUUCGGCCGAUUCCAUUAUUCCAGCCAAUUUUCGGCAAAAACUGAUGAUGAGGUUUUGUUUGACUCGUCAAUAUCUAUAACUUUUACCAACGUCAGCCCUUGAAACAGCAUUCUGGGCCAGUUACAGUGUGAAAUGACCAAAAAAAUGUCAAUUUUUCGGCAUUUUCAACAUUUUUGGCUUUACGAGUAACCAAGGUGGUGGACUUUUGUUCAGUUUUAGACUCAACCAAAUAUUUAUAAAAUUCAUGUGGAACAUUUUUGUGCCAAAUCGUAUGCCAAAAAGCUCAGUUGUGAAAACAUCCUUUCAGAUGAUGGAUGGCCCGUUUAACCCGUCAAUUUUUUUUCGGCCAUUUUCAAGAUGUUUGGAAUAUUUUCGAUAAUUUUUUUUUGUAAUGCAAACCAAGCACCCUCGGAACAAAAAGUUUCCUUGUGAGGUCCUCUUUCCAACGGUAUAUAUAUCUAUUGACUAGAUCGAGAGGAGAGUAUGUGAAAAAUUCUAAUAUAUUUUGAAAGAGGCGCACAUAAAAAAGCAAAUUUUAUAUAAAACUUUUUUUUCUUAUCAUUUUUCGCGCUUUUCGCGGAACUGAUAAGAGAUAAGAGAUAACUGACUUCAGCAAUGUUAUAGAAGACCUCAAGUGCUACAACUUUGCCGAAGACAUCAAGUUGUUAUCUCUUAUCAGUUCCGCGGAAACCGUGGAAAACCACGAGGACCCACCAAAAAUGAACAUACUCGCCUUUAACCAUUUUUGAGUCGAAAGAAACUUACUCUUCUCUUUCAUAACAAAGUCAGAUGAACUUACUCUCCUCUCGAUCAAGUCAAUAGAUAUGUUGUAAACAUUAUUAACUUUUAAGGAUGUGUUAGUGGUCAAUCAAAGUGUGGCCCGUUUGAGACGACAUUCCCUUACUCAUAAUAGACAUUAGUUUUUCAUUUAUUCACAUAACGGCUAUCUAACUUUGACUUUAUCUGUGAUGAUAAUAAGUUUUUUAUGUCCCAAUGGUUAACGAAUUUAGUCUAAGAAUGCUUCAUUUAUAUUAUAUCAAUAGAAAACAGAUGUUAACAGGGGGAGAGAGAAUGAAUAAAUUUUCAUUUUUUCACUGAAA
Sitodiplosis mosellana (orange wheat blossom midge) is the source of this 1491-nucleotide long non-coding RNA. RefSeq lists it as uncharacterized. NCBI's taxonomy places the organism in Eukaryota, Metazoa, Arthropoda, Insecta, Diptera, Cecidomyiidae. The transcript has 3 exons. The record is from RefSeq and is a predicted model, not a curated record.